UUUACGGAGAGUUUGAUCCUGGCUCAGGACGAACGCUGGCGGCGUGCUUAACACAUGCAAGUCGAACGGAGCGAAUGAAAGCUUGCUUUUAUGAGCUUAGUGGCAAACGGGUGAGUAACACGUAGACAACCUGCCGAUCAGAUGGGGACAACAUUCCGAAAGGAAUGCUAAUACCGAAUGAAGUGUGGGGGAGGCAUCUUCCCUACAUGAAAGAUGGCCUCUAUUUAUAAGCUAUCACUGAUCGAUGGGUCUGCGUCUGAUUAGCUAGUAGGUAAGGUAACGGCUUACCUAGGCGACGAUCAGUAGCCGGUCGGAGAGGAUGAACGGCCACAUUGGGACUGAGACACGGCCCAGACUCCUACG
This 363-nucleotide ribosomal RNA is filed under the name Centipeda artemidis. Its description in RNAcentral is "bacterial SSU rRNA". It matches the Rfam family "Bacterial small subunit ribosomal RNA", at positions 1 to 343 of the family's 1533-position model. The record is from RNAcentral. Lineage: Bacteria; Bacillati; Bacillota; Negativicutes; Selenomonadales; Selenomonadaceae.